GUGCUUGGUUUGGCAGCACAUAUACUAAAAUAGGAACAACACAGAGAGGAUAAAAUGGCCCCUGAAGAGUCCAUAUUUAAAAAAGAGAGAACUAAAAUAUUG
Small nuclear RNA from Sorex araneus (European shrew), 102 nucleotides. Lineage: Eukaryota; Metazoa; Chordata; Mammalia; Eulipotyphla; Soricidae. The record is from RefSeq and is a predicted model, not a curated record.